This 253-nucleotide ribosomal RNA is filed under the name uncultured bacterium. Its description in RNAcentral is "partial 16S ribosomal RNA". It matches the Rfam family "Bacterial small subunit ribosomal RNA", at positions 524 to 776 of the family's 1533-position model. The record is from RNAcentral.
UACGAAGGACCCAAGCGUUAUCCGGAUUUAUUGGGUUUAAAGGGUGCGUAGGCGGAUUAUUAAGUCAGUGGUGAAAGCCUUCAGCUUAACUGAAGAACUGCCAUUGAUACUGAUGAUCUUGAGUAUGAUUGAGGUGGGCGGAAUGUGCCAUGUAGCGGUGAAAUGCUUAGAUAUGACACAGAACACCGAUUGCGAAGGCAGCUCACUAAGCCAUAACUGACGCUGAUGCACGAAAGCGUGGGGAGCAAACAGG